UUAUCCCAACCUUUUCUCUACCUGUGUGGUUAUAUUUUUCUGGCCCUUUCAGUAUUGCCUCUUGCCUUUUCAGGUGUGACUGCUGAGCAGGUCUUCACCAGCUCCUGAGGAAGGGCAGGAAGCUGAUGCCACCAUGGGGUUGUGGCAACUGAGGGGGUUGGCCAUCACCCUCCUCAAGGCUCAAUGCUUCCUGAGACUUGCAGGCCUGAUGGCUUGGAAAUGAAAAAGGACAGGAAAUGUGCAGCUCCUGGCAGCCAUCUGUAAGUCUUUGCUCUCUACUUGAAAAGGAGGGAGCAGGAUAAGGAAGACUACUGCCCUGCUGUACAGUUUCUCUAGGACCUGUUGGGUGCCAGACUCUUUGUGACAUGAUUAGGUAAUCCUCCCUCCUUGCACCUGGAAGUGCACUCAUUGUGAUGAAGGAUAGGAUCAUAUAUUGUGUCUGAGAAAUUUUGAAGAAGCACAGCUUUUAACAGAGUGGACAGGCAGUCUUGUGACAUCCCAUGGAACAGACUUUUUCCAGCUGCUGUUGGGAUGUGCUGGUGACCUUGGUCCCUCUAGAGAUGACUGUCAGCCAGCAGAAGCAUUUGGAUUUGCACUGAAAUAAAACAUUGAGAAAGGAUAUCCAUCUCUGCAUAGAUUUUCCCAAUAUCUCUCCGGGGCCAUGAUAAUGUAGACAAGGUGUCCACCCUUUUAAUAUUUUGGUUUGAGAGCUGCUGCACUAGAUGGGUCUACUUUUCAUGGACUUUCCAUGUUACCAGCACAUCCUGUGAUGGAGUCAAAGCUCCACUGAGUUGAAGAAAUAAGCAAGUGAUUUCUCUGUAAUCUUUGAACACCUAAUCCUUGCUAAUGGAGGCAAUUUGUUCCUGGUACUCAAAGGUAGUAAUUUAGAAAAUGCUUUUGUUUUUUGUCUGAGUUGGACCAGAUUGCACCUAGUGCAUAUAAUUUUGCAAAAUGAUCCCCAAGGAGGGUAGCUUGUCUUCCCUUGAGUUUCAAAAACUGAAGCACCGUUAUGCAUCUAUAUAGGCAGUAUACUUUGUCAGGGUAAGUUAUUUACAGAUAAGUGCACUUGAAAUAAGUGCAUUUCUUAAGCAGCAUUGCCUGACUCUUUGCUCAUUGUUAUCUAUAGAUUUCAGGGAAAGUAUUUUCACUAUAGUGGAAAGCAAGUCAAUAUAUUUCCCUAAUCCAUCCCUCAAUGUAAAACCAGACAUGUGCACUGCUGGUAUUUAAAGUUAUUUACCAAUUAAAGGACAAGAAAUCCAAGUUUGCAGCAUGUCACUUAAUUUGGAGGUAACAUGGUACAGCCACACUGGACCAAAAACUGUGUUGCAAAGAUCCAAGAAUAAAAGAUCUCCCAUGUUUUUGAACAGCCUGUUCCUUGUAAUGUUGAUACCAUUACAUAAGCAAGAUUAUCCUCCUUUUAUGCUAUGGAGAAAUUGUCCCGUAGUCUGAAAAAGAGACUGGAGUAGAUCCUAAAGCAGCCAAGACCAUUUUUGCAGCAUCUUGUAGCUUCCUUCAUCUCUUUUUUCUUUCCUAAGUUUAUAGCAUUAGGACUUCAAUAGAGUGCUUUAAAACACCCAAAUAGCUGUAUUUUUUUCUUUAUUUUUGACAGGUGUGGUGAAGUCUAGUGGUGACAUACGGUGUGUCAGCUUCCCCUUUCUGCUGGCAUAUAGACACAGAAACUGUAUGGAUGAGUAGAUCUCACAGAGUAAACUGCUGCUUCUGUAUCCAGAAAUGCAACUUUCUGGCUAAAAAAGAGGUGAUCUGAUGCCUCUAUAGUUCAGAACACAGCAUAGACAUACAUACAUAUAUAUAUAUAUAUGUAUGCAUGUAUUAGUGCAUGAAGUGGUUGAAUGCAUAUCAGACAUAGACCAGGAGGAUUUUUUGACAUCUGUUGGAUAAUAUGUAAGUGUAUUAUUUAAAGAAUAGCAAAAAUGAGACUUUUAGGAAAACAGUCCCUCCUUUUCAGUCCCUAGAAAGCUGUAAAUUGUAUUUUGAAGGCUUAGGCCCUUUAAUAUAAACCCUCACCCUAGGUCUUGAUCCAUUUGCAACCCCAAACACACAUGCAGCAACUUUGAUGGGAUAUAAAAGUGUACAUCCAUGUAUUUUACAUGUAGUAGUACAUGCAGAUGGGUAGCUGGCUACUUGCCCACUUAAUUAAGGUCAAAAUUAUCCAGAUAUUUGGAAGGAGAGGUCAUCAGUCAAGAAAGAGCCCUACAUGGCCUCUCUUCUGUAGAAAUUAUUGUGUUUUAUCUGUGAGCAUUUUGGGUAUAUUUAUGGUGCAUGGAGAUCUUUAACUGCUCCAGAAAGAAUCUAUCAAGAUAGUCCAUGUUAAUUUUGAUAUUUAUUAUACACUGUGCCACUUAAUUCAGCUUUCAGGUCAGAUGAAUUAAGAGCCUGUAAUACCACUCCACAUCUGACAGCCUUCAGUACUUGCCAUCUUGGAUCAUUCCUCAGCACACCAGAAUUCAGCUCCCAAACUAUCACUCUGCCCAUUUUCUUGGUAUGGAGCAGCUGGAAAAUGCCCUGAGCACUCUGGGUCUGACUGUUAAUCUGAUGCCUGCCACAUUAAGACAACUUUCAUGUUUCUACAACCUCAGCUUCCAUGCUGAGUGAAGGAAAAAAUUUUUAUCAUGCACCUAUUUAUCAGAUGAUUUAUCCCCUUGUGCUAUACAGAAAACUCCACUGGUUUUCUUGAGGACCUCCUGAAGAGUGGAGAAAUGGGUUGGUCAAAAGUUUCAUUUGUCUUGAAAAAUUGCAUAAUCUUUCAGAAAGAUGAAUUACUGUCACUGUAAAGCAAGUCUCCCAUGAAAUGAAAUGGAAGAGAAUACGCUCUUCAUAUAAAAUUCUCAAGAGGGCUGUCUUCUAUUUCCAGGACUUGAGAGUUUGAUUUUGUUAGUUUUGCUUGUGAGGAAGCCAGCUAUACCAGGUAGUGAGCCUUUUAACUUUUUUAUCACCUCAGACCCUAUUUCUUUGACUCUGCACAGUCUUCUCUGCAUUCUGAGAUUUUUUCAGUGUUUAUGACCCAGCCUGUAUUGAACUUCUGAAAUGUUAUUAGUUGUCAGUUUUAACCUCUGGGUUAGCAGCUAUCUUUUUUGUAAAUGCACUGAGUGCCAAAAAAAAAAAAAA
Molecule: long non-coding RNA, 3126 nt
Filed under: Taeniopygia guttata (zebra finch)
Lineage: Eukaryota; Metazoa; Chordata; Aves; Passeriformes; Estrildidae
Description: lncRNA (ENSTGUG00000025690.1)
Source: RNAcentral